GCCUGUACUCAUUCUCACGCCGGAGGCGCCGCGGGGCUCAAACCCCCCUCCGGUGUUGUUUUGCAGACACCCGUCCAGCAGCUACACCGCAAGACACCGGUACACGGCGGAGGAAGCACCAGAACGGGAUUUGGCGUUAUCAUUUGGCGCUAGAAGGAGGGGGAGGUUGUAUUCUCCGUCCUGUGGUCACGGUGCCACUGGACUCAUCUUCAUCAGCAAACUCCCGAAAAGAGAGUCCCGAUUCAACCAUGUAAGCUUCAAAACGCACUCAAAUCUUUCAAAACCCUCUCAGCCAUGAUUCUCUUUGUUGUGUGCAUGUUAGCAAACCCUGUCUAGAAGAACCCUAAAUUUGUCUGUAGUACAUCAAGACACCUUGUCCUGUAGUCCCUUACACCUUUGUCAUUUAACUAUUUCUAGCAUUUCUUGAAGUAGUAAGUUGACUAUCUGCUUACACUAUUUCUAUCAUUCCACUACUGUCUAUACUGCACACAUACACUUUCACCAAAAAGCAAGCAUACUCCCUGGGUAGUUCUUGUUUGAGUUGUUCACUAUAAUCAUGACAAGGGGUGGAAAAACCCAAACCCAAUCAACCCGAUCCGAGCAGUUCAACCCGGUGGACCAGGACAAUCCACAUCAGGAUCUCAUCUCUAAACCACUCUUGACCGGGAUCAAUCCAGAAGAGACCCGGAUCAACCUAGACGAUGCCCGGGUCACAAUUGAAAUGAACCAGUUAAAGUGCAUCGAUGUCCCGGUGACCGCAGACCAUGUUACAUAUCUAACCAACAUAGAGUUGGCCGAAGCAAUCCGGUUAUACCAGGAACAACGAGCCGAGAACCUCAAAGGACCCAGG
This 850-nucleotide long non-coding RNA is filed under the name Daucus carota (carrot). Its description in RNAcentral is "long non-coding RNA (DCAR_LNC002635)". The record is from RNAcentral. Lineage: Eukaryota; Viridiplantae; Streptophyta; Magnoliopsida; Apiales; Apiaceae.